GAUGAACGCUGGCGGCGUGCCUAAUACAUGCAAGUCGAGCGAACGGACGAGAAGCUUGCUUCUCUGAUGUUAGCGGCGGACGGGUGAGUAACACGUGGAUAACCUACCUAUAAGACUGGGAUAACUUCGGGAAACCGGAGCUAAUACCGGAUAAUAUUUUGAACCGCAUGGUUCAAAAGUGAAAGACGGUCUUGCUGUCACUUAUAGAUGGAUCCGCGCUGCAUUAGCUGGUUGGUAAGGUAACGGCUUACCAAGGCAACGAUGCAUAGCCGACCUGAGAGGGUGAUCGGCCACACUGGAACUGAGACACGGUCCAGACUCCUACGGGAGGCAGCAGUAGGGAAUCUUCCGCAAUGGGCGAAAGCCUGACGGAGCAACGCCGCGUGAGUGAUGAAGGUCUUCGGAUCGUAAAACUCUGUUAUUAGGGAAGAACAUAUGUGUAAGUAACUGUGCACAUCUUGACGGUACCUAAUCAGAAAGCCACGGCUAACUACGUGCCAGCAGCCGCGGUAAUACGUAGGUGGCAAGCGUUAUCCGGAAUUAUUGGGCGUAAAGCGCGCGUAGGCGGUUUUUUAAGUCUGAUGUGAAAGCCCACGGCUCAACCGUGGAGGGUCAUUGGAAACUGGAAAACUUGAGUGCAGAAGAGGAAAGUGGAAUUCCAUGUGUAGCGGUGAAAUGCGCAGAGAUAUGGAGGAACACCAGUGGCGAAGGCGACUUUCUGGUCUAUAACUGACGCUGAUGUGCGAAAGCGUGGGGAUCAAACAGGAUUAGAUACCCUGGUAGUCCACGCCGUAAACGAUGAGUGCUAAGUGUUAGGGGGUUUCCGCCCCUUAGUGCUGCAGCUAACGCAUUAAGCACUCCGCCUGGGGAGUACGACCGCAAGGUUGAAACUCAAAGGAAUUGACGGGGACCCGCACAAGCGGUGGAGCAUGUGGUUUAAUUCGAAGCAACGCGAAGAACCUUACCAAAUCUUGACAUCCUUUGACAACUCUAGAGAUAGAGCUUUCCCCUUCGGGGGACAAAGUGACAGGUGGUGCAUGGUUGUCGUCAGCUCGUGUCGUGAGAUGUUGGGUUAAGUCCCGCAACGAGCGCAACCCUUAAGCUUAGUUGCCAUCAUUAAGUUGGGCACUCUAAGUUGACUGCCGGUGACAAACCGGAGGAAGGUGGGGAUGACGUCAAAUCAUCAUGCCCCUUAUGAUUUGGGCUACACACGUGCUACAAUGGACAAUACAAAGGGCAGCGAAACCGCGAGGUCAAGCAAAUCCCAUAAAGUUGUUCUCAGUUCGGAUUGUAGUCUGCAACUCGACUACAUGAAGCUGGAAUCGCUAGUAAUCGUAGAUCAGCAUGCUACGGUGAAUACGUUCCCGGGUCU
This 1372-nucleotide ribosomal RNA is filed under the name uncultured bacterium. RNAcentral's name for it is "bacterial SSU rRNA". It matches the Rfam family "Bacterial small subunit ribosomal RNA", at positions 28 to 1381 of the family's 1533-position model. The record is from RNAcentral.